CCGUCAAUUCCUUUGAGUUUUAAUCUUGCGACCGUACUCCCCAGGCGGUCAACUUCACGCGUUAGCUACGUUACUAAGGAAAUGAAUCCCCAACAACUAGUUGACAUCGUUUAGGGCGUGGACUACCAGGGUAUCUAAUCCUGUUUGCUCCCCACGCUUUCGUGCAUGAGCGUCAGUGUUAUCCCAGGGGGCUGCCUUCGCCAUCGGUAUUCCUCCACAUCUCUACGCAUUUCACUGCUACACGUGGAAUUCUACCCCCCUCUGACACACUCUAGCCGUGCAGUCACCAAUGCAAUUCCCAGGUUAAGCCCGGGGAUUUCACAUCGGUCUUGCACAACCGCCUGCGCACGCUUUACGCCCAGUAAUUCCGAUUAACGCUUGGACCCUACGUAUUACCGCGGCUGCUGGCACGUAGUUAGCCGGUCCUUAUUCUUCCGGUACCGUCAUCCACACCCGGUAUUAUCAGGUGCGAUUUCUUCCCGGACAAAAGUGCUUUACAACCCGAAGGCCUUCUUCACACACGCGGCAUUGCUGGAUCAGGGCUGCCCCCAUUGUCCAAAAUUCCCCACUGCUGCCUCCCGUAGGAGUCUGGGCCGUGUCUCAGUCCCAGUGUGGCUGAUCGUCCUCUCAGACCAGCUACUGAUCGUCGCCUUGGUAGGCCUUUACCCCACCAACUAGCUAAUCAGACAUCGGCCGCUCCUAUAGCAUGAGGCCUUGCGGUCCCCCACUUUCACCCUCAGGUCGUAUGCGGUAUUAGCUAGUCUUUCGACUAGUUAUCCCCCACUACAGGGCACGUUCCGAUGUAUUACUCACCCGUUCGCCACUCGCCACCAGGAUUGCUCCCGUGCUGCCGUUCGACUUGCAUGUGUAAGGCAUGCCGCCAGCGUUCAAUCUGAGCCANGAUCAAACUCUA
RNAcentral lists this ribosomal RNA (913 nucleotides) under uncultured bacterium. RNAcentral describes it as "partial 16S ribosomal RNA". The record is from RNAcentral.